This 21-nucleotide microRNA is filed under the name Schmidtea mediterranea. RNAcentral's name for it is "sme-miR-124e-5p". Its record names the gene sme-miR-124e-5p. The record is from miRBase by way of RNAcentral. Lineage: Eukaryota; Metazoa; Platyhelminthes; Tricladida; Dugesiidae.
GCCAUUCUCAGUUGGAGUCUU